ACGGGAGGCAGCAGUGGGGAAUAUUGGGCAAUGGGCGAAAGCCUGGCCCAGCAAUGCCGCGUGAAGGUAGAAGGUCUUCGGAUUGUAAACUUCUUUUAUGAGGGACGAAGGAUUUGACGGUACCUCAUGAAUAAGCCACGGCUAACUACGUGCCAGCAGCCGCGGUAAUACGUAGGUGGCAAGCGUUAUCCGGAUUUACUGGGUGUAAAGGGCGCGUAGGCGGGGAAGCAAGUCAGAUGUGAAAUCCAUGGGCUCAACCCAUGAACUGCAUUUGAAACUGUUUCUCUUGAGUGCUGGAGAGGUAGAUGGAAUUCCUAGUGUAGCGGUGAAAUGCGUAGAUAUUAGGAAGAACACCAGUGGCGAAGGCGAUCUACUGGACAGUAACUGACGCUGAGGCGCGAAAGCGUGGGGAGCAAACAGGAUUAGAUACCCUGGUA
This 437-nucleotide ribosomal RNA is filed under the name uncultured Oscillospiraceae bacterium. Its description in RNAcentral is "partial 16S ribosomal RNA". It matches the Rfam family "Bacterial small subunit ribosomal RNA", at positions 341 to 792 of the family's 1533-position model. The record is from RNAcentral. Lineage: Bacteria; Bacillati; Bacillota; Clostridia; Eubacteriales; Oscillospiraceae.